CCUUACUAUAAGUGUUGUCUAGAGGCUUGGUGCCAGAAGACUCGGUAAGACCAGAAACGCAAACGUUAGUCAUCUUAAUCAGGCGUAAAGGGUAUGUAGGCAGCUUUGAAAAUUUUAAUUUUAAAAAUUUUUUUUCUUUUCUAGAAAAAAGAGUAGCUCUAUUUUGUACAUAAAUUAAAUAGUAAAAAUAAAAUCAAUUAAAGCUAGAAUCUAAUAGAGGAAAAACCAAAUAAUACUUAGAGUAGGGAUGAUAUCCAUAGAUACUAAGGGGAAUA
RNAcentral lists this ribosomal RNA (275 nucleotides) under Pleurotus sapidus. RNAcentral's name for it is "partial small subunit ribosomal RNA". It matches the Rfam family "Bacterial small subunit ribosomal RNA", at positions 479 to 708 of the family's 1533-position model. The record is from RNAcentral. Lineage: Eukaryota; Fungi; Basidiomycota; Agaricomycetes; Agaricales; Pleurotaceae.